This 695-nucleotide ribosomal RNA is filed under the name uncultured prokaryote. Its description in RNAcentral is "bacterial SSU rRNA". It matches the Rfam family "Bacterial small subunit ribosomal RNA", at positions 28 to 715 of the family's 1533-position model. The record is from RNAcentral.
GAUGAACGCUAGCGACAGGCCUAACACAUGCAAGUCGAGGGGCAGCACAAGGUAGCAAUACUGAGGUGGCGACCGGCGCACGGGUGAGUAACGCGUAUGCAACCUGCCUGUAACAGGGGAAUAGCCUCUUGAAAGAGAGAUUAAUGCCGCAUAAUACGAGAUUCGGGCAUCCGGAUUUAGUUAAACAUUUAUGGGUUACAGAUGGGCAUGCGUUUCAUUAGGUAGUUGGUGAGGUAACGGCUCACCAAGCCGACGAUGAAUAGGGGUUCUGAGAGGAAGGUCCCCCACACUGGUACUGAGACACGGGCCAGACUCCUACGGGAGGCAGCAGUGAGGAAUAUUGGUCAAUGGACGCAAGUCUGAACCAGCCAAGUCGCGUGAAGGAUGAAGGUAUUAUGUAUUGUAAACUUCUUUUGUCAGGGAAUAAUGGGUGUCACGUGUGACGCAGAGGAAUGUACCUGACGAAUAAGCAUCGGCUAACUCCGUGCCAGCAGCCGCGGUAAUACGGAGGAUGCGAGCGUUAUCCGGAUUUAUUGGGUUUAAAGGGUGCGUAGGCGGUUUGUUAAGUCAGUGGUGAAAGUUUGCGGCUCAACCGUAAAAUUGCCAUUGAAACUGGCGAACUUGAGUACAGUAGAGGUAGGCGGAAUUCGUGGUGUAGCGGUGAAAUGCUUAGAUAUCACGAAGAANUCCGAUUG